This 1343-nucleotide ribosomal RNA is filed under the name uncultured bacterium. RNAcentral's name for it is "16S ribosomal RNA". It matches the Rfam family "Bacterial small subunit ribosomal RNA", at positions 28 to 1378 of the family's 1533-position model. The record is from RNAcentral.
GACGAACGCUGUCGGCGUGCUUAACACAUGCAAGUCGAACGGAAAGGCCCUGCUUUUGUGGGGUGCUCGAGUGGCGAACGGGUGAGUAACACGUGAGUAACCUGCCCUUGACUUUGGGAUAACUUCAGGAAACUGGGGCUAAUACCGGAUAGGAGCUCCUGCUGCAUGGUGGGGGUUGGAAAGUUUCGGCGGUUGGGGAUGGACUCGCGGCUUAUCAGCUUGUUGGUGGGGUAGUGGCUUACCAAGGCUUUGACGGGUAGCCGGCCUGAGAGGGUGACCGGCCACAUUGGGACUGAGAUACGGCCCAGACUCCUACGGGAGGCAGCAGUGGGGAAUAUUGCACAAUGGGCGGAAGCCUGAUGCAGCAACGCCGCGUGCGGGAUGACGGCCUUCGGGUUGUAAACCGCUUUCGCCUGUGACGAAGCGUGAGUGACGGUAAUGGGUAAAGAAGCACCGGCUAACUACGUGCCAGCAGCCGCGGUGAUACGUAGGGUGCGAGCGUUGUCCGGAUUUAUUGGGCGUAAAGGGCUCGUAGGUGGUUGAUCGCGUCGGAAGUGUAAUCUUGGGGCUUAACCCUGAGCGUGCUUUCGAUACGGGUUGACUUGAGGAAGGUAGGGGAGAAUGGAAUUCCUGGUGGAGCGGUGGAAUGCGCAGAUAUCAGGAGGAACACCAGUGGCGAAGGCGGUUCUCUGGGCCUUUCCUGACGCUGAGGAGCGAAAGCGUGGGGAGCGAACAGGCUUAGAUACCCUGGUAGACCACGCUGUAAACGGUGGGUACUAGGUGUGGGGUCCAUUCCACGGGUUCCGUGCCGUAGCUAACGCUUUAAGUACCCCGCCUGGGGAGUACGGCCGCAAGGCUAAAACUCAAAGGAAUUGACGGGGCCCCGCACAAGCGGCGGAGCAUGCGGAUUAAUUCGAUGCAACGCGUAGAACCUUACCUGGGUUUGACAUGGAUCGGGAGUGCUCAGAGAUGGGUGUGCCUCUUUUGGGGUCGGUUCACAGGUGGUGCAUGCCUGUCGUCAGCUCGUGUCGUGAGAUGUUGGGUUAAGUCCCGCAACGAGCGCAACCCUUGUUCACUGUUGCCAGCACGUUAUGGUGGGGACUCAGUGGAGACCGCCGGGGUCAACUCGGAGGGAGGUGGGGAUGACGUCAAGUCCUCAUGCCCCUUAUGUCCAGGGCUUCACGCAUGCUACAAUGGCUGGUACAGAGAGUGGCGAGCCUGUGAGGGUGAGCGAAUCUCGGAAAGCCGGUCUCAGUUCGGAUUGGGGUCUGCAACUCGACCUCAUGAAGUCGGAGUCGCUAGUAAUCGCAGAUCAGCAACGCUGCGGUGAAUACGUUCCCGGG